Molecule: transfer RNA, 76 nt
Filed under: Vulcanimicrobiota bacterium
Lineage: Bacteria; Bacillati; Vulcanimicrobiota
Description: tRNA-Thr
Rfam family: tRNA
About the family: Transfer RNA (tRNA) molecules are approximately 80 nucleotides in length. Their secondary structure includes four short double-helical elements and three loops (D, anti-codon, and T loops).
Source: RNAcentral
GCCGACGUAGCUCAGUUGGUAGAGCGGCAUCCUUGUAAGAUGCGGGCCAUCGGUUCGAGUCCGAUCGUCGGCUCCA